CUCAACCCCAAGAGUGCCGUGGGGACUGGUCGCCUGGAGGCAGGCAGAGGAGAGCGGAAUUCCUGGUGUAGCGGUGGAAUGCGUAGAGAUCAGGAAGAACACCCGUGGCGAAGGCGGCUCUCUGAGCCUGUCCUGACGCUGAGACGCGAAAGCGUGGGGAGCGAACAGGAUUAGAUACCCUGGUAGUCCACGCUGUAAACGAUGGAUGCUCGGUGUCGGGGGUAUCGACCCCCUCGGCGCCUAAGGUAACCCGGUAAGCAUCCCGCCUGGGGAGUACGGCCGCAAGGUUGAAACUCAAAGGAAUUGACGGGGGCCCGCACAAGCGGUGGAGCAUGUUGUUUAAUACGUCACUAACCGUAGAACCUUACCAGGUCUUGACAUCUUCGGAACCCGGCUGAAAGGCCGGGUGCCUUCGGGGAGCCGAAAGACAGGUG
Molecule: ribosomal RNA, 434 nt
Filed under: uncultured bacterium
Lineage: Bacteria
Description: bacterial SSU rRNA
Rfam family: Bacterial small subunit ribosomal RNA
Source: RNAcentral